Dipodomys spectabilis (banner-tailed kangaroo rat) is the source of this 147-nucleotide small nuclear RNA. RefSeq annotates it as U4 spliceosomal RNA. The transcript has a single exon. The record is from RefSeq and is a predicted model, not a curated record. Lineage: Eukaryota; Metazoa; Chordata; Mammalia; Rodentia; Heteromyidae.
AGCUUUGCGCAGUGGCAGUAUCAUAGCCAAUGAGGUUUAUCCGAGGCGCGAUUAUUGCUAAUUGAAAACUAAUUUCUUCACUCCUGCUCUUUGUAAUGAAAUCCUUGAAGGGAAAGUGUGGCAUGUCUAUGUCUAAUAUAUAAAAAU